Molecule: ribosomal RNA, 505 nt
Filed under: uncultured bacterium
Lineage: Bacteria
Description: partial 16S ribosomal RNA
Rfam family: Bacterial small subunit ribosomal RNA
Source: RNAcentral
AGUGAACGCUGGCGGUAGGCCUAACACAUGCAAGUCGAACGGCAGCACAGGAGAGCUUGCUCUCUGGGUGGCGAGUGGCGGACGGGUGAGGAAUACAUCGGAAUCUACUCUGUCGUGGGGAUAACGUAGGGAAACUUACGCUAAUACCGCAUACGACCUACGGGUGAAAGCAGGGGAUCUUCGGACCUUGCGCGAUUGAAUGAGCCGAUGUCGGAUUGGCUAGUUGGCGGGGUAAAGGCCCACCAAGGCGACGAUCCGUAGCUGGUCUGAGAGGAUGAUCAGCCACACUGGAAAUGGGAAACGGGCCAGACUCCUACGGGAGGCAGCAGUGGGGAAUAUUGGACAAUGGGCGCAAGCCUGAUCCAGCCAUACCGCGUGGGUGAAGAAGGCCUUCGGGUUGUAAAGCCCUUUUGUUGGGAAAGAAAUCUAGCUGGCUAAUACCCGGUUGGGAUGACGGUACCCAAAGAAUAAGCACCGGCUAACUUCGUGCCAGCCGCCGCGGUAA